This is a long non-coding RNA of Oncorhynchus tshawytscha (Chinook salmon), 1051 nucleotides long. The record is from Ensembl. Lineage: Eukaryota; Metazoa; Chordata; Actinopteri; Salmoniformes; Salmonidae.
CCAUAGCGAUGUGGCCCUUGUCUACUAGUCUCUGAUGCUAAUCCAUAGCGAUGUGGCCCUUGUCUACUAGUCUCUGAUGCUAAUCCAUAGCGAGGUGGCCCUUUUCUACUAGUCUCUGAUGCUAAUCCAUAGCGAUGUGGCCCUUGUCUACUAGUCUCUGAUGCUAAUCCAUAGCGAGGUGGCCCUUGUCUAUUAGUCUCUGAUGCUAAUCCAUAGUGAGGUGGCCCUUGUCUACUAGUCUCUAAUGCUAAUCCAUAGCGAGGUGGCCCUUGUCUACUAGUCUCUGAUGCUAAUCCAUAGCGAGGUGGCCCUUGUCUACUAGUCUCUGAUGCUAAUCCAUAGCGAGAUGGCCCUUUUCUACUAGUCUCUGAUGCUAAUCCAUAGCGAUGUGGCCCUUGUCUACUAGUCUCUGAUGCUAAUCCAUAGCGAUGUGGCCCUUGUCUACUAGUCUCUGAUGCUAAUCCAUAGCGAGGUGGCCCUUGUCUACUAGUCUCUGAUGCUAAUCCAUAGCGAUAUGGCCCUUGUCUACUAGUCUCUGAUGCAAAUCGAUAGCGAGGUGGCCCUUGUCUACUAGUCUCUGAUGCUAAUCCAUAGCGAUGUGGCCCUUGUCUACUAGUCUCUGAUGCUAAUCCAUAGCGAGGUGGCCCUUGUCUACUAGCCUCUAAUGCUAAUCCAUAGAGAGGUGGCCCUUGUCUACUAGCCUCAUGCUAAUCCAUAGAGAGGUGGCCCUUGUCUACUAGCCUCUAAUGCUAAUCCAUAGAGAGGUGGCCCUUGUCUACUAGCCUCAUGCUAAUCCAUAGCACACAGUACAGAUCAAUGUUAUAUCACUGUGAUCAUCCCCAUUUCAACUCCUCAUGUGUUUCAGUAAGUCAAACCUCUGAUGUAAGAUACAAUGAACAGACACAUAACGUCUAAGAAUCUUGUCUACACUUCUCUCUCCUCCCCCUCCCUCCCUCCCUCCCUCCCUCCCUCCCUCCCUCCUUCAUUCCCUCCCUCCCUCCCUUCCCUCCCUCCCUCCCUCCCUCCCUCCCUCCCUCCCUCCCUCCCUCCC